GUAGACUCAGAGAAAACUUGCGAAGUUUAGGAUGGAGCUGAAGAGACUGGGUUCCGUCCUACGGUGGGAUUUCUUUCCGUGCUCGCGCGUUCAGCCCCAAGUCUCAGGGCCACUCGUCUGGGAAGUUGUAGAAUCUGUAUAGCCAACCUACACAACCUCCAAGGGGAACAGCCAGUGUCUGCCAGAUACACGCCACGCUUGCACCAGCUUGGAGGAAAUGUAAGGAGGGAAGAGAGGAGACGCUGACAUCAUUGAAUCUGGAGUCAUCUGAGCCAGUGACUUGUCUUCCCAGAUAGACUUCAACAAGGUGUCCAACUCAGUGGCCCACAGUAAAUGUCAAAUUAAUGAAGACAAAAUGGCAAUAAGGAAAAGGAGUUCCAGGCACUGUGACAGAUUUUUUUUUAAGGUUGCCUGUUUUAACACUGAAAACAAUCAGCAUGGUCUGAAAGAAGAUUGUCUAGAGGAAGAAAGGAAAAGAUAAUGAGAUUUUUUGCCACUGCCUUGAGGAUCCCUGAUUCCUAUUGAUUUUACCUGCCCUUGGACCUGUCCACCUCUAUCUUCACCUCCACCUCCCUGAUCCGGUCUCUAAUCAACUCUCACCUGGACAACAGAAAUGGCAGCCCAAAUUGUCUCCCACAUCCUGUCUUAAUCCCUCUGGUCUCUACUAAACUCUGCAGCCUGAGAGAA
This 687-nucleotide long non-coding RNA is filed under the name Homo sapiens (human). Its description in RNAcentral is "non-protein coding lnc-SVBP-1:8". The record is from RNAcentral. Lineage: Eukaryota; Metazoa; Chordata; Mammalia; Primates; Hominidae.